Molecule: ribosomal RNA, 429 nt
Filed under: Gemmatimonadota bacterium
Lineage: Bacteria; Pseudomonadati; Gemmatimonadota
Description: Gemmatimonadetes bacterium partial 16S ribosomal RNA
Rfam family: Bacterial small subunit ribosomal RNA
Source: RNAcentral
UAGGGAAUCUUCGGCAAUGGACGAAAGUCUGACCGAGCAACGCCGCGUGAGUGAAGAAGGUUUUCGGAUCGUAAAACUCUGUUGUUAGAGAAGAACAAGGACGUUAGUAACUGAACGUCCCCUGACGGUAUCUAACCAGAAAGCCACGGCUAACUACGUGCCAGCAGCCGCGGUAAUACGUAGGUGGCAAGCGUUGUCCGGAUUUAUUGGGCGUAAAGCGAGCGCAGGCGGUUUCUUAAGUCUGAUGUGAAAGCCCCCGGCUCAACCGGGGAGGGUCAUUGGAAACUGGGAGACUUGAGUGCAGAAGAGGAGAGUGGAAUUCCAUGUGUAGCGGUGAAAUGCGUAGAUAUAUGGAGGAACACCAGUGGCGAAGGCGGCUCACUGGUCUGUAACUGACGCUGAGGCUCGAAAGCGUGGGGAGCAAACAGG